Molecule: ribosomal RNA, 1354 nt
Filed under: uncultured bacterium
Lineage: Bacteria
Description: bacterial SSU rRNA
Rfam family: Bacterial small subunit ribosomal RNA
Source: RNAcentral
AUUGACCGCUGGCGGCAGGCUUAACACAUGCAAGUCGAACGAUGACUCUCUAGCUUGCUAGAGAAGAUUAGUGGCGGACGGGUGAGUAACAUUUAGGAAUCUGCCUAGUAGUGGGGGAUAGCUCGGGGAAACUCGAAUUAAUACCGCAUACGACCUACGGGUGAAAGGGGGCGCAAGCUCUUGCUAUUAGAUGAGCCUAAAUCAGAUUAGCUAGUUGGUGGGGUAAAGGCCCACCAAGGCGACGAUCUGUAACUGGUCUGAGAGGAUGAUCAGUCACACCGGAACUGAGACACGGUCCGGACUCCUACGGGAGGCAGCAGUGGGGAAUAUUGGACAAUGGGGGGAACCCUGAUCCAGCCAUGCCGCGUGUGUGAAGAAGGCCUUAUGGUUGUAAAGCACUUUAAGCGAGGAGGAGGCUCUUUUGGUUAAUACCCAAGAUGAGUGGACGUUACUCGCAGAAUAAGCACCGGCUAACUCUGUGCCAGCAGCCGCGGUAAUACAGAGGGUGCGAGCGUUAAUCGGAUUUACUGGGCGUAAAGCGUGCGUAGGCGGCUUUUUAAGUCGGAUGUGAAAUCCCCGAGCUUAACUUGGGAAUUGCAUUCGAUACUGGGAAGCUAGAGUAUGGGAGAGGAUGGUAGAAUUCCAGGUGUAGCGGUGAAAUGCGUAGAGAUCUGGAGGAAUACCGAUGGCGAAGGCAGCCAUCUGGCCUAAUACUGACGCUGAGGUACGAAAGCAUGGGGAGCAAACAGGAUUGGAUACCCUGGUAGUCCAUGCCGUAAACGAUGUCUACUACCCGUUGGGGUCUUUGAGACUUUAGUGGCGCAGCUAACGCGAUAAGUAGCCCGCCUGGGGAGUCCGGUCGCAAGACUAAAACUCAAAUGAAUUGACGGGGGCCCGCACAAGCGGUGGAGCAUGUGGUUUAAUUCGAUGCAACGCGAAGAACCUUACCUGGUCUUGACAUAGUAAGCACUUUCCAGAGAUGGAUUGGUGCCUUCGGGAACUUACAUACAGGUGCUGCAUGGCUGUCGACAGCUCGUGUCGUGAGAUGUUGGGUUAAGUCCCGCAACGAGCGCAACCCUUUUCCUUACUUGCCAGCAUUUCGGAUGGGAACUUUAAGGAUACUGCCAGUGACAAACUGGAGGAAGGCGGGGACGACGUCAAGUCAUCAUGGCCCUUACGACCAGGGCUACACACGUGCUACAAUGGUCGGUACAAAGGGUUGCUACCUAGCGAUAGGAUGCUAAUCUCAAAAAGCCGAUCGUAGUCCGGAUUGGAGUCUGCAACUCGACUCCAUGAAGUCGGAAUCGCUAGUAAUCGCGGAUCAGAAUGCCGCGGUGAAUACGUUCCCGGGCCC